This 465-nucleotide ribosomal RNA is filed under the name uncultured bacterium. Its description in RNAcentral is "partial 16S ribosomal RNA". It matches the Rfam family "Bacterial small subunit ribosomal RNA", at positions 28 to 507 of the family's 1533-position model. The record is from RNAcentral.
GACGAACGCUGGCGGCGUGCUUAACACAUGCAAGUCGAACGGAAAGGCCCUGCUUGCAGGGUACUCGAGUGGCGAACGGGUGAGUAACACGUGGGUGAUCUGCCCUGCACUUCGGGAUAAGCCUGGGAAACUGGGUCUAAUACCGGAUAGGAGCCAUUUUUAGUGUGAUGGUUGGAAAGUUUUUUCGGUGUAGGAUGAGCUCGCGGCCUAUCAGCUUGUUGGUGGGGUAAUGGCCUACCAAGGCGGCGACGGGUAGCCGGCCUGAGAGGGUGGACGGCCACAUUGGGACUGAGAUACGGCCCAGACUCCUACGGGAGGCAGCAGUGGGGAAUAGUGCACAAGGGGCGCAAGCCUGAUGCAGCGACGCCGCGUGGGGGAUGACGGACUUCGGGUUGUAAACUCCUUUCGCUAGGGACGAAGCUUUUUGUGACGGUACCUAGAUAAGAAGCACCGGCUAACUACGUG